UGCUUUCUUGAUUUUGAAGUUAUAGAAAUUAUCUAAUUUACUCCUCCUAAGGCAGACAAGGGUUUUGCUUGCUCAGUGUCCUCUGUGCCCAUCACUGCCACAUCCUGAAACUCCGUCAAACCUGCGAAACACUUCUCAGUCAAGUCAAGAACAUUAAUACCUGAUCUACUGUUUUCCUUGGGGACUUCUCUAUGAAGCCUGUCACUGGCUCCAGUGUGGACUGGGUUCCCCUUGGCCAGCUGCAUAGCAGGCAUAAUGGGCCUUCUUUUCUUUGUCGUCUCUCUCUCCUCCUGGGAACCCUCUGUUUCCUGGAUCUCAGGCUUUUUCAUUGAUUCUCUUAUCUGCGCCUAUGCACUGAGCGAGAGGCCGUGGGCAAUGAAUAUGUUGACAUCUUGCACAUCUGAGAAUAUUGUUAUUCCACCCUCAGACUUGAUUUAUAGUUGAGUUGAGAACAUAAUUCCAGUUAGAAUUCAUUUCCUCAGGACUAUGAAGCAUUUCUCUAUUGUCUUCUACCUGCCAGUAUUGCCACUCAGAAGCUUGAUGCCUUUAUAAUUCCUGAGCAUACGUGACCUGCUGCUUUUUCAUGUCAGGAAGCUCUUAGAAUCCUCUCUUUAGUGCUAGUGUUCUGCAUUUUCUUGAUGAUACGCUUUGGUAUGGUCUUUUUUCCUCUUUCUGCUAGAUAGGAAGUGGGCCCUAUUAAUCUGGAAAUUUAUGGCCUUCAAUUAAUGGAAAUUACUUGUUCUUUGGGAUAUUGAAUGGAAAAUGUUUAAAAUUCCAGAUUCCAACUACAAUCUUUCGGAACCUAAUCUCAGGAGUGGCAUUCCAUCUAUUGGUCAUAUUCUAUUUGUUGAGGCUCGUCAGUAAACUCAACUGGAGGGGAGGAGAUUACACCAGCAUGUGAGUACCAAGAAGGGGACCAUCCGGAGCCAUCUUGGAGGCUGCCUACCACACCUUACUUAAAAACAGACAAGAGUCAGAAUCUCUUCACUUCAUCUGCUUUUCAUGAGAGUGAAACAGUGUUACCUGUAGCAAUACAGGGCCUCAGUCUGAUGUCGAAGAUUUUCCUGAGAUCUCCUACAGACAGAAGGAAUAUGGAAGACUUUUUUCCCCAGAACAGCAACUACAAUAAUUCUAUAAGAUGAUCUUAUCCUGCUAAGAGUAUUAACAAGAAAAAUCACUAAUAGGAAAAUUAAGAGACAUUCAUUACAAAAGUGAUUACUCAAACUCAAAUACAGUUAUCUCAUUUCUCAAAGAAAAGUCUAAAAACCCAGAGAAUUAAAAUCGGAGUUUUUGAGGCAGUUUCCAUAACUCUAUCAUUUCCAGCAGGGAGAAAAAUCAGGAGGAGACAGAAUACAAAGACACCUCCUGCACAGAUGUUCCCUGGCUUAAAGAGGAUGAGUCUUGAAAGGCUUGACUGAAAUUUGAGCAGAAGUUGCAUGUUUUUAUGAGACAAGUAAAUCACACUCCCAGAAUAGUCGGAAGGGGUGGGGUUCACUGAUGUCUUGGCUCAGCUGGCCGCUAUCUGGGCACUUAAGAAGGAAGUAAAUCAUUUAAUAGGAAGCUCUGAAGCCACCUUUAUGGAUGCUGCUGCUGGACAACUGUGGAUUCCAUUAGCCAACUUGCCACAUUGGAAGAAGAGACUAGAAUCAGAAAUUUGUGAAAACUUUCCAAUGCUGGAGGAAGUGUUUCAGCAGUUGAAAAUAAUAAAAUCUAUAGUCAAUUUGUCAGAAGUCUGCAGAUACUCAGAACUACUACAAAAGUCUCCUGAAAAAUACUUCUGUUGAAAUGGGAAAAUGAAUUCAUAAUUCUUUUCUUGCAAGUUUCAUCAUAGCACCAAUGAUGAAAGUUCUGGAAAGAUACCCUCAUUAAUUUGAGGACAAGAGAAAUAAAAUCAUGAAUUCAACCCCUAAAGAAAGAAUCUGGGAAAUAUCUAGUGUUUCAUAAGACAAACUAUCUUCACAUAACAAAGAGCAUAAUGAAACAUAAUGAAAAUUAAUAUUCAGUUCGCCUCUUACUCCUUUACGUGUCAGGGUUUUCAGCACUUAUUCCUAUGAAAAUAAAAGUCAAAAUCAAAUGGAAAUCAAAGAUGUCUGCAUAUUGCUACUUCAAUA
This is a long non-coding RNA of Equus caballus (horse), 2111 nucleotides long. RefSeq lists it as uncharacterized. NCBI's taxonomy places the organism in Eukaryota, Metazoa, Chordata, Mammalia, Perissodactyla, Equidae. The record is from RefSeq and is a predicted model, not a curated record.